CCCUUAGAUGUCCUGGGCUGCACGCGCGCUACACUGGAAGUUACGGAUUGAGAUACUACCUUGUCCGAAAUGGUCCGGGUAAUCACCUAAAAGCUUGUCAUAAUUGGAAUGGAUUAUUGUAACUAGUAAUCCUGAACUAGGAAUUCCUAGUAAGUCCCAGUCAACAGCUGGUACUGAUUACGUCCCUGCCCUUUGUACACACCGCCCGUCGCUACUACUGAUUGGACGUUUAAGCAAGAUUUUUAAACACUGACAGUGUGUAGUUCACGCUAUACUACAGUGAGAAGAAGAAGAUCGAGCUUACUUGUCUAGAGGAAGUAAAAGUCGUAACA
RNAcentral lists this ribosomal RNA (332 nucleotides) under uncultured eukaryote. RNAcentral describes it as "partial 18S ribosomal RNA". It matches the Rfam family "Eukaryotic small subunit ribosomal RNA", at positions 1470 to 1796 of the family's 1831-position model. The record is from RNAcentral.